RNA transcript from Anopheles gambiae (African malaria mosquito), 4807 nucleotides. It is a transcript of the gene named cytosolic purine 5'-nucleotidase, with no coding region annotated. NCBI's taxonomy places the organism in Eukaryota, Metazoa, Arthropoda, Insecta, Diptera, Culicidae. The record is from RefSeq and is a predicted model, not a curated record. The transcript is spliced from 8 exons.
UACGCGCCGAAGCCGUUUUCAGCCGGGCGGUAGCGAUUGUUUUGCUUUCGCUCACGAAAUCAGUGCUUCGUUUUUGCAACAGUUUCAAACCAAAAAAUGGAUAAUCUUUCACAAAAGCAAUACAAUCUUAAAACGUUCGCGAAACGCAAUAGUGUUUGCCAACAAGCCCCACUUGCGACACGCUCCCCCCAAGCAUCAAACAGCUGUUCCAACAUGUAAACAACGGCCGAAACGUCAAACCCUUUGUUCCACCGUGUGCAGCUGUCAGAAAGGCGAACAAAUAAAGCGUAGCUGUUUCCGCGAGAGUCGUCCGCGGUCGCCCUGUCUUUUCGUUUGUUGCCCUUUGGUGCAUUCGCUCACUUUCUUCGUACCGUAGUGCAAAACCGUGCGUGCAUCCGUGUGUGUGUGUGUCUGUGUUUCGGUCCCUUGUUUUCCCGUGUGUGGUUCUCCCUUCCGGUGUGUGUGUUGCUCCGUACCCCCGUUUCGGCAGACCCGGACGGCCCUUCCCGUGUGUCGCAGUGUCCUUCGCGAAUGUGCGGCUGUGCGUGAACCCGUGUGCCACACUGCGGCACCGUAAGUGUUGCCGGGUCAGUUAAGGCGGCGAGUUCGACUGUCCAACCACAAGCAUCAAGCAACGCUGCUCAGCACCAAUCAACCCGAACGCCACACAAGCACAGCACCAGGCGACCAGCUAGCGCUCUCCAGCAAGGGAACGGAAAAGAAGAAAACACACUUGUCCCAUCAGCAAACAAAAGAGAAGAAAAAAAGAACAAAGCCACUGGGAACGUCUCUUUGCCCAUCGUGCACGCGCGCGCCUUCUCCUUAGCAACUGCCGGCUUCCGGAACUGGCAGGCGAACGAGUGUGGCUUGGAUUAACAGUCCACCGGUUAGCACCCCAAUGCCCCAAUGGCUUCCAGGCUGCUGCAGGAGUAGUAUCUCCCGAGACAGCGGACAUCACGCUACGAUAACAACCGACCGCAACCGGGGAGAAACACGUUGCGCACACGUUUGAUGGGGUUUUUUUUUUUCUUCACACACAAGCACUUUGUUUGUUCCCAGACGAGAUUCAGCGAUGCACAAAACAAACAGGACCGCAAACGCACGAGCCGGCCACGCGCGCAUGGGUGGCGGGGUCGGGGCUUCGCUACAAAUAACAGGAGACGCCCCGUGCUCUGCGGAACCGGAAACACGAUCCCGAUCCCGAACCAAGGAGCUAACUCAACUCGACUCGCCCUACCCCGGAGGCGGCCCGGAGACCCCCAAGCGCACCAUGUACUAUCCGACGGCGGAUCUACCGUCGCCGCAAACCUUCCCCACGGCCGGCGGCGGCGGCGGCGGUAUGGCGGCGGGCGAAGGACAUGUGAAAAAGUACUACCGCAAAGCCGAGCACAGAAUCUUCGUCAACCGGUCGAUGCACCUGGAGAACAUCAAGUUCUACGGCUUCGACAUGGACUACACGAUCGCGGAGUACAAGUCGCCCCAGUACGAGCAGCUCGGGUUCGAUCUGGUGAAGGAGCGGCUGGUCAGCCUCGGCUACCCGGCCGAGAUCCGGCAGUUCGAGUACGAUCCGUCCUUCCCGGUGCGCGGCCUCUGGUUCGACUCGCUGUACGGCAACCUGCUGAAGGUGGACGCGUACGGCAACAUCCUCGUGUGCGUGCACGGUUUCGAGUUCCUCAAGCACCACCAGGUGUACGAGCUGUACCCGAACAAGUUCCUGCAGCUGGACGAGAGCCGCGUGUACGUGCUGAACACGCUGUUCAAUCUGCCCGAGACGUACCUGUUCGCGUGCCUGGUCGACUUCUUCACCCACUCGCCCCAGUACGCGGAGCAGGUCGACCGUACCGGCGUCAAGUACGGCGAGCUGUUCAUGUCGUUCAAGUCGAUCUUCCAGGACGUGCGCGGUGCCGUCGACUGGGUGCACAUCUACGGUGAUCUCAAGAAGAAGACGCUCGAGAACCUGGACGAGUACGUGAAGAAGGACGAGCGGCUGCCGAUGGUGCUGUCCCGCAUCCGCGAGUCCGGCGCGAAGCUCUUCCUGCUGACGAACAGCGACUACAUGUUCACCGACCGCAUCAUGACGUUCCUGUUCGACUUCCCGCACGGCGGCAAGCCGGACGAGCCGCACCGGGACUGGAAGACGUACUUCGACACGAUCGUGGUGGACGCCCGCAAGCCGCUGUUCUUCGGCGAGGGCACGAUCCUGCGCCAGGUCGACACGAGCACGGGCGCGCUGAAGGUCGGCACGCACAUGGGCCCGCUGCAGGCGAACCAGGUGUACUCGGGCGGCUCGUGCGACGUGUUCACCAAGCUGAUCGGCGCGAAGGGCAAGGACGUGCUGUACAUCGGCGACCACAUCUUCGGCGACAUCCUGAAGAGCAAGAAGAUACGGGGCUGGCGCACCUUCCUGAUCGUGCCGGAGCUGGUGCAGGAGCUGCACGUGUGGACAGACAAGUGCCAGCUGUUCGCGCAGCUCCAGCAGCUGGACGUGCGGCUGGGCGACCUGUACAAAAACCUCGACUCGAGCGCGAAGGAAAAGCCCGACAUCCGGUCGGUGCGGACCGCGAUCCGGGACGUGACGCACAAGAUGGACCUGGCGUACGGCAUGAUGGGUUCGCUGUUCCGCUCCGGCUCCCGCCAGACGUUCUUCGCCGGGCAGGUCGUCCGGUACGCGGACCUGUACGCCGCCACCAUCCUCAACCUGAUGUACUACCCGUUCUCGUACAUGUUCCGGGCGCCGGCGAUGCUGCUGCCGCACGAGUCGACCGUCGCGCACGAGCAGCGCUUCACGCUGGACGCACCGAUGAUCCAGCGCACCCGGCCGCCCCGCGCCGAGCUGCAGCUGUCGGCGGCCGCCGCGGCCCCACCGCCCCACGAGCUGGACGACGAGGAGGAGGGUGCCGAGGGCGACGCCGAUGCACGCGGGGACGAGUCGAAGGAGGUGGGACGGCUGCUGCUGGGCACACCGCAGCCUUCCUCGCUCCCGUCCGCCACCGGGUCGGAGCUGAGCGUGUCCGUGCCGCACACGCGCCCCGAAACGCCCCGCUCGGUCACGCACACGCACGACGAGGACUACUCGGACGAGGACAGCGACGACCAGAAGCGCACCAAGGGUGGUGAAGCGCGCGGCGCCGGCGAUGGCCCUGCAUCCGCCCAGGCAUAAAGAAGAAGAAGAAGAAAACAACCCCCUCCCCCUCUUUACACCACGUGUCUGCGUGUGUGUGUUUAAUCUUUGUCUUUCCUUUUUUUUGCUGUUUUGGUACGAUUUUUCCCACUAAAAAAAAACGGAAGGAGCGAAAGGCAGGCAGAGGCAAACAAAAAAAAAUACAAACAAAGCCGUGCUACGCACAAAAACCAUUCUUUUCAAGGCGCCUGCUGCUGCUGCUGCUACUCCUUUCUACUCCUUCCUAUUUUUAUUUUUUACAAUUUAAAAUGAUUACCCACUGCUAGCCCGCCGUCUAACAACUAUGCCAUCUGUUAAUUUAUUUUGCAUAGAUCAGCUUGCUCAUUAGACGAGUUGCCCAGCACCCGGGCGGAAAGCAUAGCAUAGCGAAGGCAAGCGGCUGCUAUUUCAUUUCCUCAACUCAACUGCUCGGCAAAGUGGUGACAAUGUUUAGUUUUUAGCUUCGUUGGUCCCUGCACCUCUCACCCUGAGAGAGAGAGAGAGGGAGAGACGGGGAGUAGGAGGUGGAGGGGGGGUGAAUGGUGUGUAGGGCUUGUUGUGGUGUUGUUAAGAAUGUAGCUGUUAAACUCGCGUACGUUACAGGGAGCUUAAGUAACAUGUUUAAAAUAUAUAUAUAAAUACUAGACAGAGAUAGAGAGAGAGAAAAAGAGAGAGAGAGAGAGAGAGAGAGAGAUUUUCUAGCGAGAGAUGCGUUCGUACAAAGGAAGACAGGUUAUUCUUCCCCUUUCGCAGCUAGUAGUAAGGUGGAUGAAGGAUUAGUUUUAAAGCAAACAAUCCAAAAGCAAAAGCACCCACACAAACGCGCGCUCGCGGUGAAUGUACACGUACCCUAGUAAAAUAGGCAGCGAAUCUCUUGGCCAGAAAUAUCCGGAUGUUGGAGAAUAUUUGGACGAAAAAAAAGGACAACAAAUGGUGAAAGAACAGACCCCGUAAAACGCGUUCUUUUGCUGCGCGCGUGUGUGUGUGUGUGUGUGUUUUGAGUGAGUUUUUGGUUUGUGCCUAUUCUUGCCCGUUACAAUUUCAACCACCUGCAUUGAUUGAAUGGUGAAUGGUGGGGAUGGAGGGAAAUCCGGAAGUACGACAUUAACACAAAGAAAUAAUACUAGUACACAGGAACGUUUCGGUGGUUGCUACUCUUUCGUUUUACUAUAUACAGGGCAAGGGCAGACAAGCGUUUAGCGUAUAAUACAACAAAACAAAACAAGCAAUAAGAACGCCGUCAUGCAGCAAACAAAAAAAAAGAAGCAACAUAAAAACCGGCUGUUCAUGCUCAAUUCAUUCGCUCGUUCUGGUGCUUGCGCCUUCUACACUACGCUCCUUCUCAAACAUAUCUCCUUCAGGGCCGUUGUCCAGAGUGUCCAUCUUUAGGGUUUUAGUUGCAUUUUUUUUUUUUUUUUACAAAUCAAACUGAUCGUUUCUGCGCGGUUUUCCCCGGGCUUCCGGGUACGUACGUGGAAGCUCGGAAGCGGAGAAGGAGAUUCAACCCACUAUCCCUUCCCAUCGCAGAGAUAGCCACAAAAUAGCCAACAAACAAAAAAUGCAACAACAAAAAAGCGUUAGGCUAAUUAUAUGCCGUUACAAACCACAACAGUAAAACAAUGUAAUAAAGAGUUUGUUGAAACGUUA